GAGAGUUGGGAGAUGUUUUAAUGAUAACUUCAUCCCCCCGUGGUGGAGGAGCCGGAUGAGUAAAUCAAGUGAAACCAAGUGUUAAAUGCAUGAGAGUAGAGCCGAUAUAUAUUUAAUGACCCAUGGCAUUGCAUGACCAACCACACACACACACACACACACACCGCACUCUAACACACACAAACCCUCUUAUCAUAAGAACACACACACUUAAAUACACAAAUACAAGCACUCGCCUAGUAAAAAUGUCCUCCGUCCAGCUAACUGUAUAUGUUGCAUCUGACCACACGAUUUAUUAUUCUCUUUCUGUCGGGCACAAAACCAAAAAUUAGGCUAUAGGGCCUCGACAUAAAAAAACGCAAAGGCUAGAAUAAUGUAAUCAGAUUCCAGAGAUGUAAAUAAUAAGCCUUUGUAAGAAGUAACAUUCACACUCAAAGAAUUCAGCGUACUGUGUUACUGUUCACUGUAGCAGAAAUUAAUUAAAUUAACUUGGUUGAACACAUAUUUCUUAUCAUAUUGCCCUUCAAUUUCGUGCAACGGUAAAACGAUUUAAAAUUUCCAAUUAUUUCUCAUUAAACAUCGUCUCGCCACCUUUGAGUGAGUUCUCCUUGAUUGCAAUGUAAAAUUAACAUACUCUUGUGAAAUAGCUGAGGGGAUCCCUAAAUGAAAAAAAAACAAAAACAACACAUCGUCAGUCCGUCAAUCAAAGGGAAGGCAAUGACAGAGCAGAAAUGAGCUCAGGGAUAUUUCUAACCUCUAUUUAUCCGGCUCUCAAUGCCUUGUUAUUGCCCCACUUAACCCCGCCGCAAACGGCCAUUGUCACACAAAUUCCCAACCUCAGUCUUUGACCUGAAGCAUUCAUUAAACUCCCGGUUGUGUUUACGCGCCGUGCUCGGGGGGGGGGGGGGGAUGAGCCCCAAUGAAAGGACGGCGGACGUUUUAGACCCUUUUUCCACCGACCCAGAAGGCCUGAGGCCUGACGUCGCUCCUCCAGGCAGAGCAUCGCCUCCCGCAUCGCCUCCCGUUCACGCGGCGGGCAUUUCUCUUCAACCUGCCAGGGCGAGAGAUUUAUUGGUAGUGUGUAAUGCUUUGUCAAGACAGAAUACAGCGAUGUGUUGAAAAGCUUAAAGGGCUGCGUUGUGAGACAGAACACUAAGAGACAGUGAGGACAUCCUCAUAGUGCGGUUCAGAUAACACCCGCUUUUGAAAUUCACCCCAUCGCUUAGCAGUUUUGUUGUUGUCAAAACUUAAAGAAAGUCUUCAAUGAUCAUUUAGUGUACUAGUUUAUCAUCAUUUGGCAAUGAAGCCUUGCGAUUGACUUCCAUUUGAAAGAAGAAAAAAAAGGAAAUAAAUCUUCCAGUCGGCAGGGAAAGUUGCAAUAUUCCACCCUCCCACACAUGCACACACACAAACACACACACAAAACUGUGAGGACGACAAAGGGAAGAGUUCGGUGGUAACAAAUGAUUGGAGUUUGCUCUGUGGCAGAACAGUGGUUCCCUCUGAUUAUCUCUAAUUAACCUCUGAGGAAUAGAACCAGCGAGCACAGAGGGAUUAACGCGCAGAGGCAUGAUCUGUGUGUGUGUGUGUGUGUGUGUGUGUGUGUCGAAAAGCCACCAGCCCUCAAGUACACAGAGUCCCGUGCUUUGUCUCCCCUACAGUACACAGUCACACGUGACCCAGCAGUGGCUUUCGGUGCAGGAGACGUCACUGUAUCAUGACAGAAUCAUCCAAAUUCACGCGCCAGAGGAAAAACACAUAAAAAAGAGAAGGUUGAACUCUAGUAGAGAUUUAAUAUUCUCUAGUCUCUAAUUAGUAAAGGCUUCAGGUGCCAAGGCAAUUAGUUUCACAA
Gasterosteus aculeatus aculeatus (three-spined stickleback) is the source of this 1852-nucleotide long non-coding RNA. Lineage: Eukaryota; Metazoa; Chordata; Actinopteri; Perciformes; Gasterosteidae. The record is from Ensembl.